CCCUUAGAUGUUCUGGGCCGCACGCGUGCUACAAUGGCAAAAUCAACGAGUAUACCUUUGUCGACAGACAUGGGAAAUCUUUUCAGUUCUUGCCGUGAUGGGGCUAGACCCUUGUAAUUGUUGGUCUCCAACGAGGAAUUCCUAGUAAACGCAAGUCAUUAUCUUGCAUUGAUUACGUCCCUGCCCUUUGUACACACCGCCCGUCGCACCUACCGAUUGAAUGUGUUGGUGAGGAGCUCGGAUUGGCAGCAGUUGGUGGUUCGCCACCGGCUAUUGCUGAGAAGUCCUCCAAACCGCCCCAUUUAGAGGAAGGAGAAGUCGUAACA
Molecule: ribosomal RNA, 326 nt
Filed under: uncultured eukaryote
Lineage: Eukaryota
Description: partial 18S ribosomal RNA
Rfam family: Eukaryotic small subunit ribosomal RNA
Source: RNAcentral